GGGGGAUUAGCUCAGUUGGCUAGAGCGCCUGGUUUGCAACCAGGAGGUCACCGGUUCGAAUCCGGUAUUCUCCA
This 74-nucleotide transfer RNA is filed under the name Saprospiraceae bacterium. RNAcentral's name for it is "tRNA-Ala". It matches the Rfam family "tRNA". From Rfam's summary of the family: Transfer RNA (tRNA) molecules are approximately 80 nucleotides in length. Their secondary structure includes four short double-helical elements and three loops (D, anti-codon, and T loops). Lineage: Bacteria; Pseudomonadati; Bacteroidota; Saprospiria; Saprospirales; Saprospiraceae. The record is from RNAcentral.